Molecule: ribosomal RNA, 450 nt
Filed under: uncultured bacterium
Lineage: Bacteria
Description: bacterial SSU rRNA
Rfam family: Bacterial small subunit ribosomal RNA
Source: RNAcentral
AACGAACGCUGGCGGCAUGCCUAACACAUGCAAGUCGAACGAGACCUUCGGGUCUAGUGGCGCACGGGUGCGUAACGCGUGGGAAUCUGCCCCUCGGUUCGGAACAACAGUUAGAAAUGACUGCUAAUACCGGAUAAUGACGAAAGUCCAAAGAUUUAUCGCCGAGGGAUGAGCCCGCGUAGGAUUAGCUUGUUGGUGGGGUAAUGGCCCACCAAGGCGACGAUCCUUAGCUGGUCUGAGAGGAUGAUCAGCCACACUGGGACUGAGACACGGCCCAGACUCCUACGGGAGGCAGCAGUGGGGAAUAUUGGACAAUGGGCGAAAGCCUGAUCCAGCAAUGCCGCGUGAGUGAUGAAGGCCUUAGAGUUGUAAAGCUCUUUUACCAGGGAUGAUAAUGACAGUACCUGGAGAAUAAGCUCCGGCUAACCCCGUGCCAGCAGCCGCGGUAAU